AAAUCAAUGAAGGGGCACUUUCUAUUUCACAGUUUAGCAGUUGCUAGUUCUUUAGUUCAAGUGGAGAUCAGUCUUGUUACAUGGCUUACCUUGUCUUCCUGUGUCUAAACAUACUGAGCACUGAUGACACAGAAUCUGGCAGUUGAGAAUGACCAUGUUCCUCUAAUAUAGUCAUGCUUUUAAACAGUGAAUGAAUCCACUCAAGUGCAAUGGAUGUUAUGCCAAAGUUUGUUUAUGUGCAUCAUCAUAGAGAUUCUAGGUGAUUUUCUUUUAACCUUUAUGAUUCCCAUACAUGAAGAGAUGUGUAGGAAUCAUGAACUGACACUUGCAAGGUUAGACUCCAAGCCCAAGCAUGUUCCCUCAUUUCAUGGUCCUUCUGUGUACCUGGUCUGUGAUGGUUAGGAAUUGCUUAAGCUGUUCAUAUUUUGCAGCUUGGUACUUUGAGUGGUAGUUAGAGAUUGCCAGGCUCUUGAAGCUGCUUAUCUCAGACACUUAUAUUGAGGACCAGUGUUCAGCCCCUCACAGAUGAGCCUUCUUGGGCCUGUGAAAAGUAUUUCCAGAAGCAUUUGUGCUAUCCCCAUCAUUUGCUUGUGAUGAUAGCUCACCACUAAUAGCAUUUACAUUAUGAUACUGAUAACUUUUUGAUUUCUUUAGUGCAAGAAUGUGUGUGUGUGUGUGUGUGUGUGUGUGUGUGUGUGUGUGUGUGCGUGCCAUAAUACAUGAACAAAGGAAAAAACAUUAAGACUAGUUCAUGAUAAUGGUUGCAUUUAUAAAGUAAGCAUUGGAAAUUACCUCAAAUAUUUUUUCUACUGCAUAAUAUUCUUUCGUGUGUGAGUGAUAGUUUUUAAUCCUUCAGUUGUGUUUGGAUAGUCAGGUAGAUUUUAAUGACUUUGCAAUUGUAAAGAAGCCUUAAAUGAAUAGCCUUAUGUGCAUGUAUUCCACAUUGUUCAAGAUACAACUUCAGGAUAAAUUUCUCAGAGUGGGUUGUUGGUGGAAGGGAAAUCCGUAGCUGUUUUGUUAUGUG
Perognathus longimembris pacificus (Pacific pocket mouse) is the source of this 1024-nucleotide long non-coding RNA. RefSeq lists it as uncharacterized. The transcript is spliced from 3 exons. NCBI's taxonomy places the organism in Eukaryota, Metazoa, Chordata, Mammalia, Rodentia, Heteromyidae. The record is from RefSeq and is a predicted model, not a curated record.